RNAcentral lists this long non-coding RNA (918 nucleotides) under Mytilus galloprovincialis (Mediterranean mussel). Lineage: Eukaryota; Metazoa; Mollusca; Bivalvia; Mytilida; Mytilidae. The record is from RNAcentral.
AAAAAUUCAUAUUCGACCAACAAAUACAACAGCCGAGGAAGAUUCAAGUUACAUUUUCUAAAUCAAUCAGAAUCUUUCCGUAAAUUUGUUUCAACGAAGUUUUAUCUCGAAGUAGGACACACCGUUAUUAGAACAUAUGAGUCUGUAGGAUGUUAGACAAUGUGUUAUUUGUUCUUGAUUAACAACAAAAACAUUCAUCAUAUUAGGAUAUGAACACACGAAUACACUUAAAACAUGUCAUACAGUUUAAUAUACAUAUAAUUUCAAAUGGUUUUAUCUGUUGUUUGUUGUCAAGAGGCAAAUAUAUCAUGCAUAUUCAGUGUGAAAAAUGGACAGUAUAUAUUGAAUGUAUAUGUAAGUCUUUCAGGAUAAAAGACAGAAAUGUAUUCGUCAAAUGAAGGAAAACCGGAAACCAGUCAAUGAGACAGCAACCCAACGACACAAUACAAUUGUAAUGUGUUCUGAUUUCAUUUACAACCUAAACAUCCUUAUAGAAUAUUUAUUUUAAAUUAAAAAAAUAUUGGGGACAUACAUAUGACUUAAAUUAAAAAUUUCCUCUUCAGCAAUUUAAAUAUGGUUAAAACCGAUAUGAUGAAAUGAAUUUAUUUUUAUCAAACUAUCAUACAGUAAGUGGAUGUGAAUCAAAGGACAUUCUGAAUUUCUAUAUACAUAGAUAUAUGAAAGAUUUUGCAGCUGAUUUUGUUGACACACUUGAAAUUAACGCGUUGAUCACACACAUGUACAUGUAUAAUGUACAUAACACAAUUGUAAAUAUUAAAUCUGAAUACGGAAUACAGAUCGUGACAAUCAAUUAAGUUAGAUUUACAGUAAAGAAAACACAAAUAAAUAGAAGAUAUUUUGAAUGACUAAAUGCAUAAACAGAUCCGAGUCCGAAUAAACUCAUUGUCUGAAAGAAUU